GAUGAACGCUAGCGAUAGGCUUAACACAUGCAAGUCGAGGGGCAGCACAAGGUAGCUUGCUAUCUGGGUGGCGACCGGCGCACGGGUGCGUAACGCGUAUGCAACUUGCCCUAUACAGGAGGAUAACCCGUCGAAAGACGGACUAAUACUGCGUAUGCUCACAACUUGGCAUCAAGUGGUGAGGAAAGAAAUUCGGUAUAGGAUAGGCAUGCGUCCCAUUAGCUUGUUGGUGAGGUAGCGGCUCACCAAGGCAACGAUGGGUAGGGGAACUGAGAGGUUUAUCCCCCACACUGGUACUGAGACACGGACCAGACUCCUACGGGAGGCAGCAGUGAGGAAUAUUGGUCAAUGGGCGCGAGCCUGAACCAGCCAAGUCGCGUGAAGGAUGACUGUCUUAUGGAUUGUAAACUUCUUUUAUACGGGAAUAACAAGAGUCACGUGUGACUCCCUGCAUGUACCGUAUGAAUAAGCAUCGGCUAACUCCGUG
Molecule: ribosomal RNA, 487 nt
Filed under: uncultured bacterium
Lineage: Bacteria
Description: partial 16S ribosomal RNA
Rfam family: Bacterial small subunit ribosomal RNA
Source: RNAcentral